Molecule: ribosomal RNA, 471 nt
Filed under: uncultured organism
Description: partial 16S ribosomal RNA
Rfam family: Bacterial small subunit ribosomal RNA
Source: RNAcentral
CACUCCUACGGGAGGCAGCAGUGGGGAAUAUUGCACAAUGGGCGCAAGCCUGAUGCAGCCAUGCCGCGUGUAUGAAGAAGGCCUUCGGGUUGUAAAGUACUUUCAGCGGGGAGGAAGGCAAUACGGUUAAUAACCGUGUUGAUUGACGUUACCCGCAGAAGAAGCACCGGCUAACUCCGUGCCAGCAGCCGCGGUAAUACGGAGGGUGCAAGCGUUAAUCGGAAUUACUGGGCGUAAAGCGCACGCAGGCGGUCUGUCAAGUCGGAUGUGAAAUCCCCGGGCUCAACCUGGGAACUGCAUUCGAAACUGGCAGGCUUGAGUCUUGUAGAGGGGGGUAGAAUUCCAGGUGUAGCGGUGAAAUGCGUAGAGAUCUGGAGGAAUACCGGUGGCGAAGGCGGCCCCCUGGACAAAGACUGACGCUCAGGUGCGAAAGCGUGGGGAGCAAACAGGAUUAGAUACCCUUGUAGUCCC